GACGGAGGUCCCUAGCGUUGUUCGGAAUCACUGGGCUUAAAGCGCGUGUAGGCGGGAAUGCAAGUACCUUGUGAAAUCCCCGGGCUCAACCCGGGAAUUGCUUGGUAUACUGCUGUCCUUGAGGCAGGUAGGGGUCACUGGAACCUUAGGUGGAGCGGUGAAAUGCGUAGAUAUCUAAGGGAACGCCUGUGGCGAAAGCGGGUGACUGGGCCUGUCCUGACGCUGAGACGCGAAAGCGUAGGGAG
This 245-nucleotide ribosomal RNA is filed under the name uncultured bacterium. RNAcentral describes it as "partial 16S ribosomal RNA". It matches the Rfam family "Bacterial small subunit ribosomal RNA", at positions 524 to 768 of the family's 1533-position model. The record is from RNAcentral.